RNAcentral lists this unclassified non-coding RNA (305 nucleotides) under Hevea brasiliensis (rubber tree). The record is from RNAcentral. Lineage: Eukaryota; Viridiplantae; Streptophyta; Magnoliopsida; Malpighiales; Euphorbiaceae.
ACUGAUCCCGUGCAGGUUGCUGGUAUUCAUGCACCGGUCUCUCGAGAGAGCGAUCUCUUUUCAACCGCCUUUUUCUUUCUUCUCGCUCCCGCCGUGCUAUGCUUACAGCAGUCUCUAUAUGUUCCUCUGGAGCACUAUACACCUCUUCAUGCCUCUCAAACGUCUCUUCAUCCUCUUCAGGCACCGGCGAGGCAUUUAAGUCCAUGGAAACAAUCAUUCAACGUCCACCAAGCAACAUUUACUCCAAACCUCAAAAUUCCUCAAACACAGGAAAGUCCUGAAGUUCACUAGUAACCCAAUAUUUG